AGAUUGAACGCUGGCGGCAUGCCUUACACAUGCAAGUCGAACGGCAGCACGGGAGCAAUCCUGGUGGCGAGUGGCGAACGGGUGAGUAAUACAUCGGAACGUGCCCAAUCGUGGGGGAUAACGCAGCGAAAGCUGUGCUAAUACCGCAUAAGAUCUACGGAUGAAAGCAGGGGAUCGCAAGACCUUGCGCGAAUGGAGCGGCCGAUGGCAGAUUAGGUAGUUGGUGAGGUAAAGGCUCACCAAGCCUUCGAUCUGUAGCUGGUCUGGAGAGGACGACCAGCCACACUGGGACUGAGACACGGCCCAGACUCGACGGGAGCAGCAGGUGGGAAUUUGGA
This 338-nucleotide ribosomal RNA is filed under the name uncultured soil bacterium. RNAcentral describes it as "bacterial SSU rRNA". It matches the Rfam family "Bacterial small subunit ribosomal RNA", at positions 26 to 367 of the family's 1533-position model. The record is from RNAcentral.